Molecule: unclassified non-coding RNA, 391 nt
Filed under: soil metagenome
Description: partial contains 5.8S ribosomal RNA, internal transcribed spacer 2, and large subunit ribosomal RNA
Rfam family: 5.8S ribosomal RNA (bases 1-122)
Source: RNAcentral
GAUGAAGAACGUAGCGAAAUGCGAUACUUGGUGUGAAUUGCAGAAUCCCGUGAACCAUCGAGUCUUUGAACGCAAGUUGCGCCCGAAGCCAUUAGGCCGAGGGCACGCCUGCCUGGGCGUCACACGUCGUUGCCCCCCCAUCUACUCCUUCGGGAUUGCGGGGGGCGGAUGAUGGCCUCCCGUGCGCCUCGCCGCGCGGUUGGCAUAAAUGCCAAGUCCUCGGCGACGCACGCCACGACAAUCGGUGGUUGCGAAACCUCGGUUGCCCGUCGUGUGCGGUCGUCGCGCAUCGAGGGCUCGAAAAAAGUGCCGGGUUCCGGCUCGGCUUUCAACGCGACCCCAGGUCAGGCGGGGUUACCCGCUGAAUUUAAGCAUAUCAAUAAGCGGAGGA